RNAcentral lists this ribosomal RNA (651 nucleotides) under uncultured Sebacinales. RNAcentral's name for it is "eukaryotic LSU rRNA". The stretch from base 136 to 651 matches the Rfam family "Eukaryotic large subunit ribosomal RNA", at positions 1 to 519 of the family's 3401-position model. Lineage: Eukaryota; Fungi; Basidiomycota; Agaricomycetes; Sebacinales. The record is from RNAcentral.
AUGCAUGAGUGCACCCUGCUGUAGCAGCGUCUUCAGUGUGAUAAGUAUCUUCACUGAUUCAAGCUCCCUUGUGGGACACGCUUGUCUGGUGGGCUCUGUGCUUCUAACCGUCUGCAUGGACAACUCUUGACAAUUUGACCUCAAAUCGGGUGGGACUACCCGCUGAACUUAAGCAUAUCAAUAAGCGGAGGAAAAGAAACUAACAAGGAUUCCCCUAGUAACGGCGAGUGAAGAGGGAAAAGCUCAAAUUUUGAAUCUGGUACCUUUGGUCCCCGAGUUGUAAUCUAGAGAAGUGUUUUCUGCCUUGGACCACGCAUAAAUUCCCUGGAAUGGGGUGUCAUAGAGGGUGAGAAUCCCGUUUGUGGUGUGGACUACCUUGGCUUUGUGAUACACUCUCAACGAGUCGAGUUGUUUGGGAAUGCAGCUCAAAAUGGGUGGUAAAUUCCAUCUAAAGCUAAAUAUUGGCGAGAGACCGAUAGCGAACAAGUACCGUGAGGGAAAGAUGAAAAGCACUUUGGAAAGAGAGUGAAACAGUACGUGAAAUUGUUGAAAGGGAAGCGCUUGAGGUCAGUCACAUCUGUCAGGACUCAGCCAGGCUUCUGCCUGGUGUACUUCCUGGCCGGUGGGUCAGUGUCAGUUUUGACCGAGGGA